GAUUAACGCUGGCGGCGUGCAUAACACAUGCAAGUCGAACGAUGAAACUUAAAUGAUUUCUUCGGAAUGAACUUAAGUGGAUUAGUGGCGGACGGGUGAGUAACGCGUGAGUAACCUGCCUUACACAAGGGGAUAGCCGUUGGAAACGACGAAUAAUACCCUAUGAAACUAUCACUUCGCAUGAAGCGAUAGUCAAAGUGUUAGCGGUGUAAGAUGGACUUGCGUCUGAUUAGCUAGUUGGUGAGAAAAAAGCCCACCAAGGCAACGAUCAGUAGCCGGCUUGAGAGAGUGUACGGCCACAUUGGGACUGAGACACGGCCCAGACUCCUACGGGAGGCAGCAGUCGGGAAUUUUGCACAAUGGGGGAAACCCUGAUGCAGCGACGCCGCGUGAUUUAGAAGGCCUUCGGGUUGUAAAAAUCUUUUGUAUAGGAAGAAAAUGACAGUACUAUACGAAUAAGGUCCGGCUAAUUACGUG
This 477-nucleotide ribosomal RNA is filed under the name uncultured bacterium. RNAcentral's name for it is "partial 16S ribosomal RNA". It matches the Rfam family "Bacterial small subunit ribosomal RNA", at positions 28 to 507 of the family's 1533-position model. The record is from RNAcentral.